AGAGUUUGAUCAUGGCUCAGAACGUACGCUGGCGGCACGCCUAACACAUGCAAGUCGAACGAAGUAGCAAUACUUAGUGGCAGACGGGUGAGUAACAUGUAGGUAUCUGCCCUUUGGCCUGGAAUAACACGAGGAAACUUGUGCUAAUACCGGAUAAGUCUUUACGGAGAAAGCUUUAUGCACCAUUGGAUGAGCCUGCACUUGAUUAGUUUGUUGGUGGGGUAAUGGCCUACCAAGACUGUGAUCAAUAGCUGAUUUGAGAGGAUGAUCAGCCACAUUGGGACUGAGACACGGCCCAAACUCCUACGGGAGGCAGCAGUGGGGAAUCUUGCACAAUGGAGGAAACUCUGAUGCAGCGAUGCCGCGUGAGUGAAGAAGGCCCUUGGGUUGUAAAGCUCUUUCGUCGGGGAAGAAAAUGACUGUACCCGAAUAAGAAGGUCCGGCUAACUUCGUGCCAGCAGCCGCGGUAAUACGAAGGGACCUAGCGUAGUUCGGAAUUACUGGGCUUAAAGAGUUCGUAGGUGGUUGAAAAAGUUGGUGGUGAAAUCCCAGAGCUUAACUCUGGAACUGCCAUCAAAACUUUUCAGCUAGAGUAUGAUAGAGGAAAGCAGAAUUUCUAGUGUAGAGGUGAAAUUCGUAGAUAUUAGAAAGAAUACCAAUUGCGAAGGCAGCUUUCUGGAUCAUUACUGACACUGAGGAACGAAAGCAUGGGUAGCGAAGAGGAUUAGAUACCCUCGUAGUCCAUGCCGUAAACGAUGUGUGUUAGACGUUGGAAAUUUAUUUUCAGUGUCGCAGCGAAAGCGAUAAACACACCGCCUGGGGAGUACGACCGCAAGGUUAAAACUCAAAUGAAUUGACGGGGACCCGCACAAGUAGUGGAGCAUGUGGUUUAAUUCGAAGAUACGCGCAGAACCUUACCAACACUUGACAUGUUCGUCGCGACUCUAAGAGAUUAGAGUUUUCGGUUCGGCCGGACGAAACACAGGUGCUGCAUGGCUGUCGUCAGCUCGUGUCGUGAGAUGUUGGGUUAAGUCCCGCAACGAGCGCAACCCUCACUUUUAGUUGCCAUCAUUUAGUUGGGCACUCUGAAAGAACUGCCAGUGAUAAGCUGGAGGAAGGUGGGGAUGACGUCAAGUCCUCAUGGCCCUUACGUGUUGGGCUACACACGUGCUACAAUGGUAUCUACAACAGGAAGCAAGACGGCGACGUCAAGCAAAUCCUUAAAAGAUACCUCAGUUCGGAUUGCACUCUGCAACUCGAGUGCAUGAAGCUGGAAUUACUAGUAAUCGUGGAUCAGCGUGCCACGGUGAAUGCGUUCCCGGGUCUUGUACACACCGCCCGUCACACCAUGGGAGUUGGUUCUACCUUAAGGCAAGGUUUUAAACCCUUGACCACGGUAUAGUCAGCGACUGGGGUGAAGUCGUAACAAGGUAGCCGUAGGGGAACCUGCGGCUG
RNAcentral lists this ribosomal RNA (1455 nucleotides) under marine metagenome. RNAcentral describes it as "bacterial SSU rRNA". It matches the Rfam family "Bacterial small subunit ribosomal RNA". The record is from RNAcentral.